RNAcentral lists this long non-coding RNA (200 nucleotides) under Dromaius novaehollandiae (emu). Its description in RNAcentral is "lncRNA (ENSDNVG00000010302.1)". Lineage: Eukaryota; Metazoa; Chordata; Aves; Casuariiformes; Dromaiidae. The record is from RNAcentral.
CUUUUUUAGAAUGUUAAUAAGAACACAGAAAGAUGCAUAGGAGCAAACUCAACUGACAGAAAUAAAGACACCUUGAGAAAUCAACUCAAUCCAAACAAGAGCAACAAAAUUGGACAUGUGUGUGGUGCCUGUCUUGGGACAUAUUAGAAGUUUGCAAAGAGCUGAUUUCCCAAAGAAGAAAAUGGUUUGAGAGAUGGAGA